GUAACGACUCUCGGCAACGGAUAUCUCGGCUCUCGCAUCGAUGAAGAACGCAGCGAAAUGCGAUACCUGGUGUGAAUUGCAGAAUCCCGUGAAUCAUCGAGUUUUUGAACGCAAGUUGCGCCCGAGUCCUUAGGGGCGAGGGCACGCCUGCCUGGGCGUCACG
This 163-nucleotide ribosomal RNA is filed under the name Loranthus guizhouensis. RNAcentral describes it as "5.8S ribosomal RNA". It matches the Rfam family "5.8S ribosomal RNA". Rfam says of the family: 5.8S ribosomal RNA (5.8S rRNA) is a component of the large subunit of the eukaryotic ribosome. It is transcribed by RNA polymerase I as part of the 45S precursor that also contains 18S and 28S rRNA. The record is from RNAcentral. Lineage: Eukaryota; Viridiplantae; Streptophyta; Magnoliopsida; Santalales; Loranthaceae.